This 208-nucleotide long non-coding RNA is filed under the name Elaeis guineensis (African oil palm). Its description in RNAcentral is "long non-coding RNA (EGUI_LNC032467)". Lineage: Eukaryota; Viridiplantae; Streptophyta; Magnoliopsida; Arecales; Arecaceae. The record is from RNAcentral.
CGGAAGGCUACACUGGAAGAGGCAAGAGACAAGCCCUCUAAAAAAGCCUAAGAUCUUUCCCUAAAGGACAUCGCAGUUGGAGUAGUAGAAUUUUUCAAUAUCUCUCAUGCCAAAGUGGGAUGCUUGAUCGGAGGACAAAGGACAUCUCCCAAGAUAAAGGAGAGCACUGACAAUCCUUCAAUGUUGGAUGAGGCAUCACCAUGACAUU